CUUCCUACGGGACGCAGCAGUGGGGAAUAUUGCACAAUGGGGGAAACCCUGAUGCAGCAACGCCGCGUGAGUGAAGAAGUAUUUCGGUAUGUAAAGCUCUAUCAGCAGGGAAGAAGAUGACGGUACCUGAUUAAGAAGCCCCGGCUAACUACGUGCCAGCAGCCGCGGUAAUACGUAGGGGGCAAGCGUUAUCCGGAUUUACUGGGUGUAAAGGGUGCGCAGGCGGCCUGUUAAGUCAGCGGUAAAAGCCCGGGGCUCAACCCCGGCGAGCCGUUGAAACUGGCGGGCUGGAGUUGGGGAGAAUG
RNAcentral lists this ribosomal RNA (305 nucleotides) under uncultured bacterium. RNAcentral describes it as "bacterial SSU rRNA". It matches the Rfam family "Bacterial small subunit ribosomal RNA", at positions 335 to 658 of the family's 1533-position model. The record is from RNAcentral.